RNAcentral lists this RNase P RNA (443 nucleotides) under Phycisphaerales bacterium. RNAcentral describes it as "partial RNase P RNA component class A". It matches the Rfam family "Bacterial RNase P class A". Rfam says of the family: Ribonuclease P (RNase P) is a ubiquitous endoribonuclease, found in archaea, bacteria and eukarya as well as chloroplasts and mitochondria. Its best characterised activity is the generation of mature 5'-ends of tRNAs by cleaving the 5'-leader elements of precursor-tRNAs. The record is from RNAcentral. Lineage: Bacteria; Pseudomonadati; Planctomycetota; Phycisphaerae; Phycisphaerales.
GCGGCAGCCGGAUGGUCCGGCUGCUGAGGAAAGUCCGAGCACGGCAGGACACGCUGGUGGGUAACGCCCACCCGAUCGGGGACGGAGCAAUUCGGAGCCCGGUCGAGGGAAAGUGCCACAGAGAUUGAACCGCCGAUGGCCCUCGCGAAAGCGGGGGAUCAGGUAAGGGUGAAAAGGUGCGGUAAGAGCGCACCGGCCGGGCCGUGAGGUCCGGCGCAUGGCAAACCCCAGCGCGUGCAAGGUCACGCAGCUUUCGCUCCCGCAAGGGAGGUGCCCGGUUCGGGCAUGAGCUUGCUCCGGAAGCGGGUGGACCGCUCGAGCUUCGCGGCAACGCGGGGCCCAGAGAAAUGGUCGCCACGGUUGGAAGGUGCGCUGGGCUCCCGUCAAGGUUUCGAGCGCAAACCGCCAAACGGACAGAACUCGGCUUAACGCCGCGUCGAGCC